RNAcentral lists this ribosomal RNA (237 nucleotides) under Triticum aestivum (bread wheat). Its description in RNAcentral is "partial small subunit ribosomal RNA". Lineage: Eukaryota; Viridiplantae; Streptophyta; Magnoliopsida; Poales; Poaceae. The record is from RNAcentral.
AUGCUGCAAAAUUUAGGAUUCUCGCUCAGGUGGCACAACUGGAUCUCCGUCCUCUUGGCCUCGUCGUCGUCUGCCGUCCUCCUCAAUGGAAUCCCAUGCCAAAUGAUAAAGCAUAUGCGAGGUCUGCGGCAGGGGGACACUCUGUCCCCGUUCUUGUUCAUCUUGGCGAUCAACACUCUACAUCGUAUCCUUGAGAUGGCACAAAACUCUGGACUCCUAACACCACUUCCUGGUAGA